Molecule: ribosomal RNA, 440 nt
Filed under: uncultured bacterium
Lineage: Bacteria
Description: bacterial SSU rRNA
Rfam family: Bacterial small subunit ribosomal RNA
Source: RNAcentral
CCUACGGGAGGCAGCAGUGGGGAAUUUUCCGCAAUGGGCGAAAGCCUGACGGAGCAAUACCGCGUGAGGGACGAAGGCUUUUGGGUCGUAAACCUCUUUUAUUAGGGAAGAUUAUGACGGUACCUAAUGAAUAAGCAUCGGCUAACUCCGUGCCAGCAGCCGCGGUAAUACGGAGGAUGCAAGCGUUAUCCGGAAUGAUUGGGCGUAAAGCGUCCGCAGGUGGUUUUGUAAGUCUGCUGUCAAAGCGUUAGGCUUAACCUAAUAAAGGCAGUGGAAACUAUGAGACUAGAGUACGUUAGGGGUAGAGGGAAUUCCCAGUGUAGCGGUGAAAUGCGUAGAGAUUGGGAAGAACACCGGUGGCGAAAGCGCUCUGCUAGGACUGUACUGACACUGAGGGACGAAAGCUAGGGGAGCGAAUGGGAUUAGAUACCCUAGUAGUC